This 88-nucleotide transfer RNA is filed under the name Dehalococcoidia bacterium. RNAcentral describes it as "tRNA-OTHER". The record is from RNAcentral. Lineage: Bacteria; Bacillati; Chloroflexota; Dehalococcoidia. RNAcentral also lists the same sequence under 1 other name.
GCGGUUGGUCUAGCAACCGAUUAGUAGCUUGUCUCUCGACAACUUCCCAAGCAAGACGUCGUGGGUUCGAAUCCCAUCAUCUGCUCCA